AAUUAAAUUUCUUUUCUGGAAAAUUAUGAAUCACCCCUUGAUUUUUGAUAUAUGUGGAUGAUAUUCUGUUUUUUGAUUGUCUAUACUUGUGUUUUUGCUUUGAAGGAAUCUAGGAAUCUUUUCAGUUUUUGGGUGAUAUUUUUUUUUUGGUUUGUUGGUUUUUUUAUUAGGUUUUGGACAUUUGAUUUGUCCAGGUUGACUAACAAAAGAUGGAUUUCUUUAAGGUUAUCUAAUUGCUGAUUUACUACGAUUUUAGAAAAGUCUUGAUUUUAGGUUAGUAAGGGUAUAUCUGAAUUGAUGAGCAUGAUCAUCUACAGUUGUGUUAGUUGGUUGUUGUAUCAUCUGAUGAUGCUUUUCCCUUUUAUCCAUCUAGUUGAAUCUGUAGCAUAACUUUCCCUUUUUACCUGUGAUGUAAAUAAAUUAUUAUUCUGCCUUUUGUGUUUAUUUUAUAUAAUCAGGCUAAGUAUGAGAUUGAUAAUGGUAGAAGCUUUUUUGAUGUUGGUACAUAUGACAAUCAAGUUGGAUGGCACUAUUUGUGGUUUGGAGAUAUAACAAUCGUGGUUGGAACUUAGUUGCAGUAUUUCUGUCUUAAGUUAGAAAUUUUGUCAUUUUAAGUACCACUUGAACUUCUUAGUCGCUAAUCCGUUAUCGAGUUAGUCUCAACUCCUUGUUUGUCCUGUGAUGCUUUAAUCCCUUUGUUUGUUCUUCUGGGGUGGGGAGGUUGAGACUUCAACCAUCUUCUGCUGGACAACGUGUGCAGGAUUAUGGACCGGCUUCCUGUCUUGAAUGAAGAAAAUAUUUGCUGAGGCUGUAAACUUCUUGGCACAAAGAUUCUUCAGGUGUCCCUUCUCCGUGACAACAUUUUGGAAGGAAGAAGCCUGUAAACUUAAUCUUAAGUUGCACUAUUCAAUCAAAAUGUUUGGAGGCAACAAUAGCAAUCAUGCAUUUCCUAUGUUUCUGGACGAGAAUCGUUUUCAGCUUAAUACUAAUGCACCAAACCACCAACUUCAGCUCUUUGGGAACUGAUGAGUGUUGUUAUUAUGGUGGAAGAGGCGAAGACCUUAGUUUGUAAAGUGCUCAAAAGGCUCAUAAAUCUUUGGCUAAUGGAAAAAGAAGAAUUAGAAGCUCACAUGGAAAAAGACAGCCUCUCCAUGAUUGCAUUGAGUACAGCUGACAGACUUGGUUCUAGGAAGAGUUGGAUCUGCAGCAACACCUUGUACAACCUGAGUUGGAUUUGCAGCAACUUCUCUGUAUAUGCUGCAAUUGUUAUCAUCUGCAGCCUCCUAAGCAGUAGAAUGUCACGAGCCAUCUCUAAAAAGUCCCCACACCGAGGCAACAAGGCAUCCAAGGCAGCAUCGUAGUGCAUCGCUUGGCCGCAAGGCAGCAACAUGGGCCACAGGGGCACCCAUGGGCGCUGGCAGCAGGGAGGAGCACCCACCCCCUAUAGAGGAAAAUAUUGAAUUAGCUAUAAUUUCCCAGUGAACACGCCUAUGACAGUAACAUAAUAAUGGGCUGUUUGGUGGACCAAAUGAGUUUGGAUUGGGCUCAAACUUGGGGGUCCCACAUAUUUUGACCCAAUGAAGAUAAUGGUCGGGCCAGAAUUGGAUUUCGAGGCCCGCUUGGGCCCGAUGGUGCAGCAAGGUCCUUGGAAUGCCUCCGGAAGACUCUAGAAUACACUUGGGCAUUCUAGCUUGGAUUUCUCUAGAGCAUUCUAGCAUGGAUGACUCUAGAACACUCUUGUACAUACUUGUGUGUAUUUUCUAGAACCCUCCAUGUAUUUUCUGAUUUUCUUAGGAGGUAGGAAUAUUCUAGAAAUGUAUAGAGAGCUCCUUUGAGAGAGCCUUGUAGAAUAUUCUAGAGUAGAAGUCUCUAGGCCACCAAGGCACUAUAAAUAGGUCUUGGCAUUCAUUUGUACAAAGCAUCAAACACUUGUAAUUCUCUCUCAAGCAAUACAAAGCAUUCUUUAAAAGCCAUA
Spinacia oleracea (spinach) is the source of this 1975-nucleotide long non-coding RNA. RefSeq lists it as uncharacterized. The transcript is spliced from 3 exons. Lineage: Eukaryota; Viridiplantae; Streptophyta; Magnoliopsida; Caryophyllales; Amaranthaceae. The record is from RefSeq and is a predicted model, not a curated record.